GUGGGGAAUCUUGCGCAAUGGGCGAAAGCCUGACGCAGCCAUGCCGCGUGAAUGAUGAAGGUCUUAGGAUUGUAAAAUUCUUUCACCGGGGACGAUAAUGACGGUACCCGGAGAAGAAGCUCCGGCUAACUUCGUGCCAGCAGCCGCGGUAAUACGAAGGGGGCUAGCGUUGCUCGGAAUUACUGGGCGUAAAGGGCGCGUAGGCGGACAGCUUAGUCAGAGGUGAAAGCCCAGGGCUCAACCUUGGAAUUGCCUUUGAUACUGGCUGUCUUGAGUUUGGGAGAGGUGAGUGGAACUCCGAGUGUAGAGGUGAAAUGCGUAGAUAUUCGGAAGAACACCAGUGGCGAAGGCGACUCACUGGCCCAAUACUGACGCUGAGGCGCGAAAGCGUGGGGAGCAAACAGGAUUAGAAACCCGAGUAGUCC
This 425-nucleotide ribosomal RNA is filed under the name uncultured bacterium. RNAcentral describes it as "partial 16S ribosomal RNA". It matches the Rfam family "Bacterial small subunit ribosomal RNA", at positions 354 to 796 of the family's 1533-position model. The record is from RNAcentral.